GUGCUUGCUUUAGUAGCACAUACAUUAAAAUUGGAAUAAUACAGAGAAGGUUAGCACGACCCCGAUGCAAAGAUGACAAAACAAAGACAAAACCAUAGAUAGUUAAU
This is a small nuclear RNA of Saimiri boliviensis boliviensis (Bolivian squirrel monkey), 107 nucleotides long. NCBI's taxonomy places the organism in Eukaryota, Metazoa, Chordata, Mammalia, Primates, Cebidae. The record is from Ensembl.